This 124-nucleotide small RNA is filed under the name Marmota monax (woodchuck). Lineage: Eukaryota; Metazoa; Chordata; Mammalia; Rodentia; Sciuridae. The record is from RNAcentral.
GCUGGGCAGGGUGGCUCAUGCCUGUAAUUCCAGCACCUUGGAGGCUGAGGCAGGAGGAUCAUGAGUUCAUAGCCAGCCUCAGCAAAAGUGAGGUGCUAAGCAACUCAGUGAGACCCUAUCUCUA